GACGAACGCUGGCGGCGCGCCUAACACAUGCAAGUCGAACGGAGCUGAGAGAAGCUUGCUUUUCUUAGCUUAGUGGCGAACGGGUGAGUAACGCGUGAGUAACCUGCCCUGGAGUGGGGGACAACAGCUGGAAACGACUGCUAAUACCGCAUAAGCCCACGAUCCGGCAUCGGAUUGAGGGAAAAGGAUUUAUUCGCUUCAGGAUGGACUCGCGUCCAAUUAGCUAGUUGGUGAGGUAACGGCCCACCAAGGCGACGAUUGGUAGCCGGACUGAGAGGUUGAACGGCCACAUUGGGACUGAGACACGGCCCAGACUCCUACGGGAGGCAGCAGUGGGGGAUAUUGCACAAUGGGGGAAACCCUGAUGCAGCGACGCCGCGUGGAGGAAGAAGGUUUUCGGAUUGUAAACUCCUGUCGUUAGGGACGAUAAUGACGGUACCUAACAAGAAAGCACCGGCUAACUACGUG
RNAcentral lists this ribosomal RNA (468 nucleotides) under uncultured bacterium. RNAcentral's name for it is "partial 16S ribosomal RNA". It matches the Rfam family "Bacterial small subunit ribosomal RNA", at positions 28 to 507 of the family's 1533-position model. The record is from RNAcentral.